RNAcentral lists this RNase P RNA (401 nucleotides) under Muribaculaceae bacterium. RNAcentral's name for it is "RNase P RNA component class A". It matches the Rfam family "Bacterial RNase P class A". From Rfam's summary of the family: Ribonuclease P (RNase P) is a ubiquitous endoribonuclease, found in archaea, bacteria and eukarya as well as chloroplasts and mitochondria. Its best characterised activity is the generation of mature 5'-ends of tRNAs by cleaving the 5'-leader elements of precursor-tRNAs. Cellular RNase Ps are ribonucleoproteins. Lineage: Bacteria; Pseudomonadati; Bacteroidota; Bacteroidia; Bacteroidales; Muribaculaceae. The record is from RNAcentral.
GGAGCCGGACGGUUCGUCGCGCGCAGCCCUCAGAGGCUGUGUGAGGAAAGUCCGGGCAACGCAGAGCGCCAUAGUUUUUAACGGAAACCUGUCGGAAUUCAUAACGGCAGAUUAGCGUGACAGAAAAUAACCGCCGGACCUUUCGGGGUCCGGUAAGGGUGAAAAGGUAAGGUAAGAGCUUACCGGGCCGCAUGGUGACAUGAGGCGCCGCACGCAUUAUGGGUUGCAAGGUCAAGUAUACCGGCAAUUAAGGGUUGCUCGCCCGCUGCCGGGGGGUAGACUGCUAAAGCGCGAUUCGUGGCAACACGCCGCUCAGAUAAAUGACGGACCGGCCCGGCGGUUCGGCUUGCCGAUAACCGCUUCGGUGCUGACAUAACCCGGCUUAUAGUCCGGCUCCUUUU